This is a long non-coding RNA of Juglans microcarpa x Juglans regia, 494 nucleotides long. RefSeq lists it as uncharacterized. The record is from RefSeq and is a predicted model, not a curated record. Lineage: Eukaryota; Viridiplantae; Streptophyta; Magnoliopsida; Fagales; Juglandaceae. The transcript is spliced from 3 exons.
AGAGACAAACUCUUAUUAUUACACCCACUGAGAUCAAUAAUUGUGGAAACUGAACCCACCCCAUUCCACUUACCUUUCAUAUCAGCACCUCUCAACUCUUCAUGAUCAACUCUUCAACAACUCUCAAGUCUUGGUCUUCCCUUUCACAUAGCAAGAGGGCUGCCUUGUAUGCUGGAAACACGAGUUUGAGAGUGAAAGGCCGAAAAGGUAAUUGGACCUUUUUGUUUGGAUGUAGAGGAAGUUUGACGGCUGCAUUCUGUGAGAUUGAAGUGAAGAAACCAUAAAAUCUAUCCCUUACAUCCAUCUGGAUCUGACAUUAUUUUUCAGGUAAAAUUCAUGUGAAACCAACCAACACGUACCUCAAUAUGUGAUGUUUAUAGCAUAGACAGCCUAGGAGAGAUGGAGCUUCAACAUUUCGAGCACAGGCAUCCAUUCUUCCUCCUUGAAGAGGCGAAACAACCUAUUUCAUGUCUACUGUGCAAGGAAAGAGUCUC